CCUGCAAGUACGUUUGGUUUUUAUCCCAUACACCGAGCCAUACACACAUUUGUAGCUCUUCGCGAUAUAUCGCGCGAGCCAUACACACAUUUGUAGCUCUUCGGCUAAAUCUUGUCCGCCAUAUUUGUUAUUGUUAUUGCAACGUAAGCAGUUUAGCGGGUGAAUUCGGGCGAAAAGCAGGUGAGCUCGGCAAAAAGCAGGUGAGCUCGACGACAAGCUCACCUGCUCUAAACCAAUCAGAAAGCCGCUUUUAACACAGGUAUGGGAUAAGGGAGAGAACUUGCUGGCUUGGGAGAGAACUUGCUGGCUUGGGAGAGAACUUGCUGGCUUGGGAGAGAACUUGGCUUGGGAGAGAACUUGGCUUGGGAGAGAACUUGGCUUGGGAGAGAACUUGGCUUGGGAGGGAACUUGGCUUGGGAGAGAACUUGCUGGCUUGGGAGAGAUCUUGGCUUGGGAGAGAACUUGGCUUGGGAGAGAACUUGGCUUGGGAGAGAACUUGUUUUGGGAGAGAACUUGUUUUGGGAGAGAACUUGGCUUGGGAGAGAACUUGGCUUGGGAGAGAGCUUGGCUUGGGAGAGAACUUGGCUUGGGAGAGAACUUGGCUUGGGAGUGAACUUGGCUUGUGCGAGCCAGCUCAGCUAGUCUCCUUUGCAGCCUGUUUGCAGGUGCAUUCCAGCCUGGCUUAUUCAAACAGCC
Paramuricea clavata is the source of this 696-nucleotide non-coding RNA. Lineage: Eukaryota; Metazoa; Cnidaria; Anthozoa; Malacalcyonacea; Plexauridae. The record is from the annotation of a GenBank genome assembly.